Molecule: ribosomal RNA, 400 nt
Filed under: phytoplankton environmental sample
Lineage: Eukaryota
Description: partial small subunit ribosomal RNA
Rfam family: Eukaryotic small subunit ribosomal RNA
Source: RNAcentral
AGCUCCAAUAGCGUAUAUAAACGUUGUUGCAGUUAAAAAGCUCGUAGUUGGAUUUUUGGUUUUGGCAAGUGGGCGGGAGCUUGAUUGUUCCGCGCCUUUUUCUUGUCUGGCCUUUUUCGUGGUGAGCUCGUUGGGCAUUCAGUUGUCUGGCGGGGGAGCCGCGUCGUUUACUGUGAAUAAAUUAGAGCGUUCAAAGCAGGCGUUUGCUUGAAUAUUGCAGCAUGGAAUAAUAAGAUAAGACUAAGUCUUAUUUGUUGGUUUGCAGACUUAGUAAUGAUUAACAGGGACAGUUGGGGGUAUUAGUAUUUCGAUGUCAGAGGUGAAAUUCUUGGAUUUUCGGAAGACUAACGACUGCGAAAGCAUUUACCAAGGAUGUUUUCAUUAAUCAAGAACGAAAGUA